Molecule: ribosomal RNA, 274 nt
Filed under: uncultured bacterium
Lineage: Bacteria
Description: partial 16S ribosomal RNA
Rfam family: Bacterial small subunit ribosomal RNA
Source: RNAcentral
AUACGGAGGGUGCAAGCGUUAUCCGGAAUCACUGGGUUUAAAGGGUGCGUAGGCGGCUAAAUAAGUCAGAGGUGAAAUCUUUCCGCUUAACGGAAAAAUUGCCUUUGAAACUGUAUAGCUUGAAUGAAGUUGAGGUUAGCGGAAUGUGACAUGUAGCGGUGAAAUGCAUAGAUAUGUCAUAGAACACCAAAUGCGAAGGCAGCUAGCUAGGCUUGAAUUGACGCUGAGGCACGAAAGCGUGGGGAGCGAACAGGAUUAGAAACCCCAGUAGUCC